Molecule: long non-coding RNA, 209 nt
Filed under: Panax ginseng (ginseng)
Lineage: Eukaryota; Viridiplantae; Streptophyta; Magnoliopsida; Apiales; Araliaceae
Description: long non-coding RNA (PGIN_LNC006776)
Source: RNAcentral
UUCAUUCAAAGAAAUUUCCCAAACCAAAUUGUUUUGGUGCGGAAUCCUAUGAUAAGACCGAGGUGAACUAUGUUGUUUGGAUAAAUAAUCCAAUCAAGUAGCGUAAAUAUUCGCUAGACAUGAUUAAUAUGUUAUGCAUGACGUAAGAGUACGAUAGGCUAAUCACCUAAAGUACAAGCAACGAUAGUUUACCUUCUUUGUGAUUGUAA